GCCCGGGUGGUCUAGUGGUAUGAUUCUCGCUUAGGGAUGGCAUUCGCCUACAAACCCAAGCAUAUCUGCGAGAGGUCCCGCGUUCGAUCCGCGGCUCGGGCC
RNAcentral lists this transfer RNA (102 nucleotides) under Aspergillus ibericus CBS 121593. RNAcentral's name for it is "tRNA-Pro". Lineage: Eukaryota; Fungi; Ascomycota; Eurotiomycetes; Eurotiales; Aspergillaceae. The record is from RNAcentral.